This is an RNA transcript of Periophthalmus magnuspinnatus, 897 nucleotides long. It is a transcript of the gene named transmembrane protein 238-like, with no coding region annotated. Lineage: Eukaryota; Metazoa; Chordata; Actinopteri; Gobiiformes; Gobiidae. The record is from RefSeq and is a predicted model, not a curated record. The transcript is spliced from 3 exons.
GGAGCGCUGCGUAGAGCGGUGCGUGGAGCAGUGCGUGGAGCGAGGCAUGGCCAGCUGCGUGGGUAACUGGGCGCCCAUCUUCUACCUGGCUUUGCUGUUCGACGUGGCGGGGUUCGCGGUGUUGCUCGUGGGGAUCUUUGGCAAUUUAAGACUCGACGGGCGCUUUUACGGGGAUUUCCUCAUCUACACGGGCGCCCUCAUCAUCUUCCUCAGCCUCGUGUGGUGGGUGCUCUGGUACACAGGGAACGUCCAGCUUUACACGGGACUAGAGAGGCGUGCGACGGGGGAUUCGGGCUCCUGUAAUGUCAGUUUCACACACUGGGCUCGCAAGUUAUCCAAGAGACUGUCCGGGAGCAGCGUCAAAGGUGUGGAUGACUGGGAAGCGCAGAAGAAGCACGCCAUGGCCAACGAGAAGGAGGCGAAGGGGGUCCAGUGGGAGAAGCGCGGGUCUGGGCACGAAAACAAGGGCUUUGACGCGGGGCAAGAAGCGGUGGACGAUAAGAACGUGGAGCUGGGAGUGCUCGGGAGCGCAGAGCGAGCUCCACGGGAGGACAAGGCGGAGAGGCUGCUCUAGACACGAAUUCACCUGGCUUCCACUGGAGGCUACUAUGAUGCUACAUGACAGAGGACACAAAGAACAGACACCUGUCCCGGAGGCUAUUGCUGUCUUCAGACUGCCCCGACACUGCAUUUGAUGACCAUACCUGUUGAGCUGAGCUGAUGCCGAGGUGGUCCAGGUGUGCUCCUCCAGGACAUGUUUACACUGCUCUCACUACAGACACUUUGUGCAGUUCAUGUGGAUGGACUGUUUGUGAAUCAGGGAAUGCUCUGGAUCCUUCAGAGCUGUGCACAGUACUCAAUAACUCAAAGUACUUUCUAUAUUUGUAUGUUCUCUAU